GAGGUCGAGAGGGAGAGCCCAGGAGAUGGAGUUGUGCUUGGAGGCUCGUCGUCUCGCCGAGAUCUUACCGGCCUCGAGGAGCACCGAUCUCAACUGCAGGGCGCGAUCAAUGAGCUUGAUCUGAUCGGUGUCGGAGUCACGGGAGUCGAGGAUCCACUCGAAGGAGAGAUCGAUGGUGAAGGGCGGCGAGUCGGAGAAGUCGAGGAAGGUCUCAAGGAGUCGCGGUCAAGGAGGUUGGGAUGGUAAGGG
This 249-nucleotide long non-coding RNA is filed under the name Rosa chinensis. RNAcentral's name for it is "sRNA RchiOBHm_Chr2g0147131". Lineage: Eukaryota; Viridiplantae; Streptophyta; Magnoliopsida; Rosales; Rosaceae. The record is from RNAcentral.